This 109-nucleotide ribosomal RNA is filed under the name Diophryopsis hystrix. RNAcentral describes it as "5.8S ribosomal RNA". It matches the Rfam family "5.8S ribosomal RNA", at positions 1 to 111 of the family's 154-position model. From Rfam's summary of the family: 5.8S ribosomal RNA (5.8S rRNA) is a component of the large subunit of the eukaryotic ribosome. It is transcribed by RNA polymerase I as part of the 45S precursor that also contains 18S and 28S rRNA. The record is from RNAcentral. Lineage: Eukaryota; Ciliophora; Spirotrichea; Euplotida; Uronychiidae.
AAUUCAUAACGGUGGAUGUCUUGGCUCCCGUAACGAUGAAAAACGCAGCGAAGUGCGAUAAGCAAUGCGAAUUGCAGAACCAUGAGUCAUUAGAGUUUUGAACGCAAUC